This 302-nucleotide long non-coding RNA is filed under the name Elaeis guineensis (African oil palm). RNAcentral's name for it is "long non-coding RNA (EGUI_LNC058739)". The record is from RNAcentral. Lineage: Eukaryota; Viridiplantae; Streptophyta; Magnoliopsida; Arecales; Arecaceae.
UAGCCUCACUCACUUGAUCUUGAUAUGAGUCCUUAAGAAUCCUAUCACUUUUAAGCUCCAAAAUUGCUUUGGCAUUCUCAAAUUGGGGAUUCUUAAGUGGGACAUUAGAUUGAUGACUAGGUCCAGGUGGUUGAUGGGUGGAUGGAUUAUUUCUAGGAUUUGGUACUGGUUGGCUUGGCAAUUGACCUGGUUCUCUCCUCAUGGUAGACUCAACUAGCUAUCCUAUUUGUGCUUCUAACCUAGCGAUAGAUUGCUGUUGGGUUAUAAUCAAUUGUUGGAGUUGAUUGAAUCUAUCAUCGGCU